Halichondria panicea is the source of this 737-nucleotide long non-coding RNA. RefSeq lists it as uncharacterized. The transcript has 2 exons. NCBI's taxonomy places the organism in Eukaryota, Metazoa, Porifera, Demospongiae, Suberitida, Halichondriidae. The record is from RefSeq and is a predicted model, not a curated record.
CUGUGUUACAGUUUAAUGGAUGAUUAAUUACACUUGAUAGGCUGCAUAGUAAUUAGCAUAAUUUAUACACAUUAUAUAGUAUUAGCAGGACACUCUCGAUAUUAGCGGGAGUUGGCCUGGUAUUAGUAAUUAGCACCUAAUUACACUCUGAUAGUUUUCCUAAUAAUUAUUAUCAGUUGAGCCAUAGAUAGUAAAGGAAAGGGAUUGGAAACGCAUCACGUGCACCAAUGUUUUCAACAGAGUCUGGAUGGCACAAUCCUACUUACGAUUUUUAAUGUUAUUCAUUGCUAGUCAAAAGGUCAUUUGCUGUUUUUAAAGCUAUAUUUUUGGACCUCAAGAUCAUUUUUUCAGCGUUCAAGCCAAUCAAGAUGUGAAGCAAAAAGCUCGUAAGAAAAAAUUCAAGCCAUCCUCGACCUCAACCAGAUCCUACCCUCUCUCGACAAAACAAAAGCAUCUAGGAAGAUAUAAAUUCAACCAUAUAAGACACUUAGUAACCUCACCUGUCACCUCAUUAUUAAGUAUACAUAUAUACAUGUUUAUUUUUGCUUGUGUGUAUACACUGUAAUUUUGCAACCACUUACUUUAAACAUAAUAAAUUAUUAUUGACAUCCCUUAGAGUACAGUAUUACACUUAUAAUUAGUGUCAAGACUCACAAAGGGAGUUUAGUAAGAUAAUAAAUACAUUGUUGUCGUGUUUAUAAUAUUAUUAUGUAACUAAAAUAAUUAUGAUAGAUCUA